GGCAGUAGGUAGAACCGCGCGCGGCGGAGGAGCUUAGUUUGGGGUAGGAGAAGUUAGACUCGUUUCGCUCUCUGGAACAUGUAAAUGCUCCUCUGCGUCAACAUCGUUCUACUCUCACCGCCAGUGCUGAAACAUAAGCCGUGGUAUUGACGAGGAAAGAGGAUUUUUAGAGAAGAGAGCCCGAGACCAGAAAUGCCUUUAUCUUCCUGUGGAAAGUCUUCCAGAGGUAGGCCAGAGAGAAAGUACUGAGAUGCAAGUUACAACCUGCAGCCCAGCAGCUUAGGGGCUUUCACACCAGGAGAAACUGGAGAGCUGCCCAGUCACCAUGCAGGGGGUGUGGGCUCAAGCUCCAACAGGAGCGACAGAAAGUCAGAAAGUCACAGUCUCUCUCUUCUCAACUAUUCAGAGGAAGGAGGAGAGAAAAAAGAGCUUCAUAAAUAAAGCACUUCCUUGGA
This is a long non-coding RNA of Hyaena hyaena (striped hyena), 455 nucleotides long. RefSeq lists it as uncharacterized. Lineage: Eukaryota; Metazoa; Chordata; Mammalia; Carnivora; Hyaenidae. The record is from RefSeq and is a predicted model, not a curated record. The transcript is spliced from 2 exons.